GUAGGUGGCAAGCGUUGUCCGGAUUUAUUGGGUUUAAAGGGUGYGUAGGCGGCCCUGUAAGUCAGUGGUGAAAUACGGCAGCUCAACUGUCGAGGUGCCAUUGAUACUGCAGGGCUUGAGUACAGACGAGGUGGCGGAAUUGACGGUGUAGCGGUGAAAUGCUUAGAUAUCGUCAAGAACACCGAUAGCGAAGGCAGCUUACUAGACUGUAACUGACGCUGAGGCACGAAAGUGUGGGGAUCAAACAGGAUUAGAUACCCUGGUAGUCCACACUGUAAACGAUGAUUACUCGAUGUUGGCGAUACACAGCCAGCGUCUUAGCGAAAGCGAUAAGUAAUCCACCUGGGGAGUACGCCGGCAACGGUG
Molecule: ribosomal RNA, 366 nt
Filed under: uncultured bacterium
Lineage: Bacteria
Description: bacterial SSU rRNA
Rfam family: Bacterial small subunit ribosomal RNA
Source: RNAcentral